RNAcentral lists this ribosomal RNA (253 nucleotides) under uncultured bacterium. RNAcentral describes it as "partial 16S ribosomal RNA". It matches the Rfam family "Bacterial small subunit ribosomal RNA", at positions 524 to 776 of the family's 1533-position model. The record is from RNAcentral.
UACGAAGGGGGCUAGCGUUGUUCGGAAUUACUGGGCGUAAAGCGCACGUAGGCGGAUCGAUCAGUCAGGGGUGAAAUCCCAGGGCUCAACCCUGGAACUGCCUUUGAUACUGUCGAUCUGGAGUAUGGAAGAGGUGAGUGGAAUUCCGAGUGUAGAGGUGAAAUUCGUAGAUAUUCGGAGGAACACCAGUGGCGAAGGCGGAGACCUGGGCCAAUACUGACGCUGAGGUGCGAAAGCGUGGGGAGCAAACAGG